CCUACGGGUGGCAGCAGUAGGGAAUAUUGCUCAAUGGGGGAAACCCUGAAGCAGCAACGCCGCGUGGAGGAUGAAGGUUUUCGGAUUUUAAACUCCUUUUGUUAGAGAAGAAAAUGACGGUAUCUAACGAAUAAGCACGGGCUAACUCCGUGCCAGCAGCCGCGGUAAUACGGAGGGUGCAAGCGUAACUCGGAAUCACUGGGCGUAAAGAGCGCGGAGGCGGGAUAGCAAGUCAGAUGUGAAAUCCUAUGGCUUAACCAUAGAACUGCAUUUGAAACUGUGAGUCUAGAGUAUGGGAGAGGUAGGUGGAAUUCGUGGUGUAGGGGUAAAAUGCGUAGAGAUCAAGAGGAAUACUCAUUGCGAAGGCGACCUGCUGGAACAUAACUGACGCUGAGGCGCGAAGGCGUGGGGAGCAAACAGGAUUAGAUACCCCUGUAGUC
Molecule: ribosomal RNA, 440 nt
Filed under: uncultured bacterium
Lineage: Bacteria
Description: partial 16S ribosomal RNA
Rfam family: Bacterial small subunit ribosomal RNA
Source: RNAcentral